CUGAGUAAACAGCUCAGCUUGUAGAGUGCUUGCCUUCUAAGCAUGAGGCCCUGGGGUCAAUCCCCAGUAGAGAGA
RNAcentral lists this transfer RNA (75 nucleotides) under Marmota monax (woodchuck). RNAcentral's name for it is "tRNA.Arg". The stretch from base 11 to 67 matches the Rfam family "tRNA", at positions 9 to 63 of the family's 71-position model. Rfam says of the family: Transfer RNA (tRNA) molecules are approximately 80 nucleotides in length. Their secondary structure includes four short double-helical elements and three loops (D, anti-codon, and T loops). The record is from RNAcentral. Lineage: Eukaryota; Metazoa; Chordata; Mammalia; Rodentia; Sciuridae.